RNAcentral lists this ribosomal RNA (466 nucleotides) under uncultured Phycisphaerae bacterium. RNAcentral describes it as "bacterial SSU rRNA". It matches the Rfam family "Bacterial small subunit ribosomal RNA", at positions 925 to 1382 of the family's 1533-position model. The record is from RNAcentral. Lineage: Bacteria; Pseudomonadati; Planctomycetota; Phycisphaerae.
ACAAGCGGUGGAGCAUGUGGAUUAAUUCGUAAGCAACGCGCAGAACCUUACCUAGGUUUGACAUGCUUGGAUGCUUGCCUGGAAACAGGUUAAGCUGCCUUCGGGUGAAACUUGCACAGGUGCUGCAUGGCUGUCGUCAGCUCGUGUCGUGAGAUGUCGGUUAAGUCCCUUAACGAGCGAAACCCUUGCCGUUAGUUACCAGCGGGUCAUGCCGGGAACUCUAGCGGGACUGCCGGUGUUAAACCGGAGGAAGGUGGGGAUGACGUCAAGUCAUCAUGGCCUUUAUGCCUAGGGCAUCACACGUGCUACAAUGGCCGGGACAAAGCGACGCAAGACCGCGAGGUGGAGCUAAUCGCAAAAACCCGGACCCCAGUUCGGAUUGCAGGCUGGCAACUCGCCUGCAUGAAGUUGGAAUCGCUAGUAAUCGUGAAUCAGCUAUGUCACGGUGAAUGUGUUCCUGAGCCUU